This 369-nucleotide long non-coding RNA is filed under the name Rattus norvegicus (Norway rat). Its description in RNAcentral is "long non-coding RNA NONRATT016508". The record is from RNAcentral. Lineage: Eukaryota; Metazoa; Chordata; Mammalia; Rodentia; Muridae.
GAUUCUGAAGAAGACAUGGAGGAGCCUUCCCAAGAACAGAGGUGCUGAAUCACCGAGUCACACCCCAGCUGUACAGGGAUUCAUUUGAAAGGGAAAGAGAGGCUCUCCACACUUGGAAUGUCCGAUUCCCUUCUCAGGACGCUGCAUUGCAGCCACUAGAGCAACACUUACCACAUGGACAAAUCCCCCACUAAAGCUGUCCAGUGAUACCCAUCUUCCCAUGCCUUCCCCACCAGGUUCCCAGCACUGGGUAGGAGUGUUUUUGCUUAUUUUUAAAAAUUCAACUCAAGAGGUUCUGGUAGGCAUUACAUGUCUCUUUUAAUUUGCAUUUGUUUAUUAAAAUAAAGCUGGUUGGAGUUGUGUUUGUUU